Molecule: ribosomal RNA, 524 nt
Filed under: uncultured Pseudomonadota bacterium
Lineage: Bacteria; Pseudomonadati; Pseudomonadota
Description: bacterial SSU rRNA
Rfam family: Bacterial small subunit ribosomal RNA
Source: RNAcentral
CCUGACCCAGCAACGCCGCGUGAGGGAUGAAGGCCUUCGGGUCGUAAACCUCUGUCGGGAGGGACGAAAGGCGCGCGGGUGAACAAUCCGCGUACUUGACGGUACCUCCAAAGGAAGCGCCGGCUAACUCCGUGCCAGCAGCCGCGGUAAUACGGAGGGCGCAAGCGUUGUUCGGAAUCACUGGGCGUAAAGCGCGUGCAGGCGGCUUGGUAAGUCGGGUGUGAAAUCCCGGAGCUCAACUCCGGAACUGCACCCGAUACUGCCUCGCUAGAGUCCCGGAGAGGAUGGCGGAAUUUCCGGUGUAGAGGUGAAAUUCGUAGAUAUCGGAAGGAACACCAGCGGCGAAGGCGGCCAUCUGGACGGUGACUGACGCUCAGACGCGAAAGCGCGGGGAGCAAACAGGAUUAGAUACCCUGGUAGUCCGCGCUGUAAACGUUGGGUGCUAGGCGUCGUGGGUAUUGACCCCCGCGGUGCCGAAGCUAACGCAUUAAGCACCCCGCCUGGGGAGUACGGUCGCAAGACUA